CCCUCUUCAGCUCCAACGCCUUUUUCGACUGUGGCUUGGCCUUCAUAAAAGAAAGCAUCCAAGCUGGAAUAUUUGACAAGAACCCCAAAUAAGGUGAAGGCAGCUCGGGUUUUUUCAGUGGUGGAGUAUAGGCAUUCAUACAAAGUCCAUCAAUUUUCAGGUCAUCCCAUGCAGACCAAAACUUCAGUGGUGGAGUAUAGGCGUUCAUACAAAGUCCAUCAAUUUUCAGGUCAUCCCAUUCAGACCAAAAUCUUGGAUCACUCUCAACAGAAGGUAACACAAUUCUAACAACCUUAGAAUCCUCUAAAACAGCUAAAACUACCUCAGGCCGUUGCUUUAACCCUACAUUAGGUGGUUUAAUUAUAUGCUUAAGUUUCCC
Molecule: long non-coding RNA, 379 nt
Filed under: Nicotiana benthamiana
Lineage: Eukaryota; Viridiplantae; Streptophyta; Magnoliopsida; Solanales; Solanaceae
Description: long non-coding RNA (NBEN_LNC026330)
Source: RNAcentral